RNA transcript from Megalobrama amblycephala (Wuchang bream), 3224 nucleotides. It is a transcript of the gene named sodium channel, voltage-gated, type II, beta, with no coding region annotated. Lineage: Eukaryota; Metazoa; Chordata; Actinopteri; Cypriniformes; Xenocyprididae. The record is from RefSeq and is a predicted model, not a curated record. The transcript has 6 exons.
UCAACCAGUGCUCCUGCUACAGACACUGCCAGCCAUAUCAUAGCACAAAAUAAAAACAUUCCCGUGUUUUUUAUAUGAUUGAAACGGAGAAAUAGAUCUCAAACGCAUUUUUAAUACCUAUUUUCCGUUAAGUUAUAUUGUCAGCGACCAAAAUGUCCAUUUUAUUGCAUUCUGGGAAAACGCAGUGGGCGUCCGCUUUGAAAUUAUCCUGUGUUGCAUUGGUGAUAUUUUUGGCUUGUCCAGUGACUUCCAUGGAUGUGCUGGUGCCACAACAGAUCAACGCUCUCAAUGGCACUAAUGUCAGAAUCCCUUGUGCGUUCACCUCAUGCUACAAGCUGGACCCCAGCAAGUUUGCCAUGAACUGGACCUAUCAGGAGACACUCAACAGCACAGAGGAGAUGUUCAUGACUUAUAAGAACAGGAUAACUCCCCUGAAGUCAACCCGAUUUGGAGAUCGGGUCGUGUUUUCUGGAAACCUGGAAAAGAACGACCUCAGCAUCACUAUCUCAGAUGUGCAGUUGACAGAUGAUGGAAUCUACAAUUGCUAUGUGCGCAACCCUCCAGAUCGCAUUCAGGGUCACGGCACCAUCCAGUUCAACGUCCUGACUGAAUUGCCACCACCAAGGGAUUCGACCAUUGCUGUCGCCAUCGGGGCAUCUGUGGGGGGCAUUCUUGCUUUGCUCAUUCUGUCCAUGGUAGUGGUGAAGUGUAUUCGUAGACAUAAGAACCAGGAGCUGAUCUCAGACGAGCAGAAGAUGGAGGAAGAGGGCAAAGUCGAUGGAGAAGGAGGAACAGAAGAAGCAACAAAACAGCCCUAACACGCCAUCUUAGCCCUGGAGGCCUAACCGAUGGUGGAGCUCAAUCCUUCAUGUUCUGAAAUUUAUGCCUCCUACCUGAAGAUAUGUAAAACUCGUUUGACUCUUCGUCCUGUAAUGGUCUCAUUCAACAUUCCCCAGUUUUAUCGUGUAGCGACCAAACAUGUCAUGUUAGGAAGAUCCCUGCCACUGUGCCAUGAUGUCCAGUCACUGGUGAGAAAUCACAAAGGGUUUUAUACUGCCUCUUCCACUCAUUAUGGCAGGUUAAGGUGAUAACAGCAUCCUACAGAACUGUUUAUUUGGUCCACCCUUUUUUCGAAGUCAGUAAUGUCUUUUUUCUUCAACUACUGCCACUAUUAGCACUAUUAAUAUUAGCCAUCCAAUAUUUCUGCUAAGAAUUUUCUAAAGGUGAGAGUUUUAAUUGAUACAAAACUGCCAAAGUGUUUUUACCCUUACAGUGUUUAUACGUUUUGACAGUUUCUUGAGAAAUCACUGCCCUCAACGUCCUCUUUAAGUGGAUGCAGAAACAUGAUGUGUGUGUGUUUGUGUGUGCCUUCUCUUUGUGCCAGUUUGCUCCAAUUGGGUCUAAGGUUUGUGCUGUUCUUACAAUCCAGUUUGUAGAAGAGCAGAAUAUUUAGCAGUGAUACCUUGAACCUACCCAAAUGGCAGGACCAUGACUAUCCAUUAGUGUUAAAAAUAUAUAAUUUGCUAGUUUAUAGUACACCUCCAAAACAUGUACAAUCAUUGCAUGACAAUUUUCUUAUACAUUUUACACACAAAUUGCACAAAACAAAUCAUCACUUUGCACAAGCAUCUGGCACAUUCCAUGAAUAGGUUAUAUAUUGGUGUCCCAUGACUUUUUAAAAGCAUUUAGGCCCUGACACAAAAAGCCGAUGGUCGGCCAUCGGCCAACGUCGGGCGGCCCAGUUUUUGCAGUGUGUUCCACACCAUCUGCACUAGUUGGACUUUGUCGGGGGGAUUUUGGCCGAUUGAGCAUGUUAAAUCAGUGUCCGUCAGCUUCUGCGCCAUUGGUGAGAGAGAGAACUCUGAUUGGCUGUUCAGUUUAGCGAACGAGAAUAAAAACAAAAGAUGGCUGUUCUAAUUUAACGUCACCAUUCCAAUGCACAAAUAUUUUCAUAACAACAUGCGCCACCUGGAAUGAAGAGAGCGAUCAGCGUGAUUGAUAUUUAAAAUGGUAUUCUAUAUCUGCAGCCCUAGUUUCGGUUUCCCUUUUUGGAUGACGAAUAUAGACUAUUGAUACCUGUUGAUAUACACGGCCAUUUUCUUACACGCUGACGCAGAACGCAUGUGCUAGUUGACAGUCGCCUGUAGCCUUUGUGGUGUGUUCAAGCCCAGCCUUUUUUGCCGAAAUGCAGCCGAUGUGAGGCGAUAACACAGUUGCCUUUCGUCGUUGCUAUUUUUUUUUUUCACAUCUGCUUGGUGGGUCACAGCCUUUAGAGGCACAAAUCCCAUAUUAUUUUUGUUAUGAGAUACACUGUAUAAACCUGAAUAAGUUGGCAAAACUUAUAAAAAGUUUUAAUUUUAUUGAACUAAUUUGUUUAAUACAAGAUUACCCUACUCAAAACAGUUAGUUAUUUUGAGCAUUAUGGUUUACAGUGUAUUAGAAACAGAAAACGAACUAAAAUGGUAAUUUUAGCCUGCUCCACUGCAAAGGACUUAACCUUAAAAUCAUAGAAGAGUGUCGUAAUUUUAAAAUAUGGACAUUGAAGAUUUUAAUAUUCUGCUCAUAGUAAAAAUUUGUCUUAAUUAAAUUAAUUCACUUAUUUUCCCCAUUACAAAAAAGUAAGAUUCUUUGUGAGGCCCAAAAAGAAGUUAAAUUGGACCCUUUCUACUAAAAUUAUGAUUAGAAUAAAAAAAUUAAACAAAUAUGCAGCAACAGCUAAAUCUAUGGCAAAUUUGCCAUAAAAAUACAUUUUUGGAAAUUCAUUCACUUUUUUACCCUAUUUAUGGAAAAUGCCGUUUACAAAACACUGCUUUCACACACAAACGUCAUCAUUUAUCACGAUACUUGUAUUUAUUGAUAAAAACCAAAAACAAAUUCGAUUGUUGAUAUUAUUGUGUUUGACAUGUAUGUUGUGGUGUGUUAUUUGGAAUGUGUGAAAUAAUUUUACAUGAUUAUCUUCUUGAACAUAGUUCAAGUACAAUUUUUCUCAGUACUGAAUUUAUGAACACUUCAUUUUUAACCUGAUAAUCAAAUUUCACAGCUAAUUUUAUAAUCUGAAAGAGGAAUUGAAAUUGAGAAUUAAGCUUGUUCAAGAGUGCAAGUGAAACAUACUGGAUUAAGACUGAAUGUGUCAAAUAUAAAAGAAUAUUAAACCUUUCAUGGAAAGAUAAAAUUGUAUAUGACAUAUCACUGAAUUGUAUAUGACAUAAGUCACUGAACCGUUU